CCUACGGGAGGCAGCAGUGGGGAAUCUUGCGCAAUGGGCGAAAGCCUGACGCAGCCAUGCCGCGUGAAUGAUGAAGGUCUUAGGAUUGUAAAAUUCUUUCACCGGGGACGAUAAUGACGGUACCCGGAGAAGAAGCCCCGGCUAACUUCGUGCCAGCAGCCGCGGUAAUACGAAGGGGGCUAGCGUUGCUCGGAAUUACUGGGCGUAAAGGGAGCGUAGGCGGAUAGUUUAGUCAGAGGUGAAAGCCCAGGGCUCAACCUUGGAAUUGCCUUUGAUACUGGCUAUCUUGAGUAUGGGAGAGGUAUGCGGAACUCCGAGUGUAGAGGUGAAAUUCGUAGAUAUUCGGAAGAACACCAGUGGCGAAGGCGGCAUACUGGCCCAUUACUGACGCUGAGGCUCGAAAGCGUGGGGAGCAAACAGGAUUAGAUACCCUGGUAGUCCACGCUGUAAACGAUGAGUGCUAGUUGUCGGCAUGCAUGCAUGUCGGUGACGCAGCUACGCAUAAGACACUCCGCCGUCGGGUAGGUACGGUCGCGAGAAUUAAACGUACGAAGAAGUUAGACGGCGUGAGACGUGCCGACGGACGACGACGACGGGAGGUUAGG
This 605-nucleotide ribosomal RNA is filed under the name uncultured bacterium. Its description in RNAcentral is "bacterial SSU rRNA". The stretch from base 1 to 516 matches the Rfam family "Bacterial small subunit ribosomal RNA", at positions 338 to 873 of the family's 1533-position model. The record is from RNAcentral.